This 375-nucleotide ribosomal RNA is filed under the name uncultured eukaryote. RNAcentral's name for it is "SSU rRNA". It matches the Rfam family "Eukaryotic small subunit ribosomal RNA", at positions 587 to 972 of the family's 1831-position model. The record is from RNAcentral.
AGCUCUAAUAGCGUAUAUUAAAGUUGUUGCAGUUAAAAAGCUCGUAGUCGGAUGUCGGGCUCGGGGAGGCUGUCGGCCUUUGGUCGGACGGCAUGUCCGGGCCUUUCUGCCUGGGGAUCCUAUUCUACUUAACUGUAGGGUAGUGGGACGCAGGCCGUUUACUUUGAAAAAAUUAGAGUGUUCAAAGCAGGCCUACGCUUGAAUACAUUAGCAUGGAAUAAUGGAAUAGGACUUUGGUCUUAUUUGUUGGUUUAUGGGACCGAAGUAAUGAUUAACAGGGACAGUUGGGGCCGUUUAUAUUUCGUUGUCAGAGGUGAAAUUCUUGGAUUUACGAAAGAUAAACUUCUGCGAAAGCAUUCGGCAAGGAUGUUUUCA